CGGAGGAAAAGAAACUAACAAGGAUUCCCCUAGUAACGGCGAGUGAAGCGGGAAGAGCUCAAAUUUGUAAUCUGGCACUUUCAGUGUCCGAGUUGUAAUCUCGAGAAGUGUUUUCCGCGCCGGACCGCAUACAAGUCUGUUGGAAUACAGCGUCAUAGUGGUGAGAGCCCCGUAACUGAUGCGGAUGCCCGGUGCUUUGUGAUACACUUUCGAAGAGUCGAGUUGUUUGGGAAUGCAGCUCAAAUUGGGUGGUAAAUUCCAUCUAAAGCUAAAUAUUGGCGAGAGACCGAUAGCGAACAAGUACCGUGAGGGAAAGAUGAAAAGCACUUUGGAAAGAGAGUUAACAGUACGUGAAAUUGUUGGAAGGGAAACGCUUGAAGUCAGACUUGCUAUUCGGAAUUCAGCCGCAAGGUGUACUUUUCGAUUUGCAGGCCAGCAUCAGUUUUUGGGGGUGGAAAAGGGUGGAGAGAAGGUAGCAACCCCGGUUGUGUUAUAGCUCUUCACUGGAUUCAUCUUCGGGGACUGAGGAUCGCAGCGCGCUUUAUUGCAAGGCUCUCGAGCUUUUCGCGCUUAGGAUGCUGGUGGAAUGGCUUUAAACGACCCGUCUU
Molecule: ribosomal RNA, 608 nt
Filed under: Camptobasidiaceae sp.
Lineage: Eukaryota; Fungi; Basidiomycota; Microbotryomycetes; Kriegeriales; Camptobasidiaceae
Description: partial large subunit ribosomal RNA
Rfam family: Eukaryotic large subunit ribosomal RNA
Source: RNAcentral